RNAcentral lists this ribosomal RNA (622 nucleotides) under Micrococcus sp. PLB031. RNAcentral describes it as "bacterial SSU rRNA". It matches the Rfam family "Bacterial small subunit ribosomal RNA", at positions 871 to 1490 of the family's 1533-position model. Lineage: Bacteria; Bacillati; Actinomycetota; Actinomycetes; Micrococcales; Micrococcaceae. The record is from RNAcentral.
GCCUGGGGAGUACGGCCGCAAGGCUAAAACUCAAAGGAAUUGACGGGGGCCCGCACAAGCGGCGGAGCAUGCGGAUUAAUUCGAUGCAACGCGAAGAACCUUACCAAGGCUUGACAUGUUCUCGAUCGCCGUAGAGAUACGGUUUCCCCUUUGGGGCGGGUUCACAGGUGGUGCAUGGUUGUCGUCAGCUCGUGUCGUGAGAUGUUGGGUUAAGUCCCGCAACGAGCGCAACCCUCGUUCCAUGUUGCCAGCACGUCGUGGUGGGGACUCAUGGGAGACUGCCGGGGUCAACUCGGAGGAAGGUGAGGACGACGUCAAAUCAUCAUGCCCCUUAUGUCUUGGGCUUCACGCAUGCUACAAUGGCCGGUACAAUGGGUUGCGAUACUGUGAGGUGGAGCUAAUCCCAAAAAGCCGGUCUCAGUUCGGAUUGGGGUCUGCAACUCGACCCCAUGAAGUCGGAGUCGCUAGUAAUCGCAGAUCAGCAACGCUGCGGUGAAUACGUUCCCGGGCCUUGUACACACCGCCCGUCAAGUCACGAAAGUUGGUAACACCCGAAGCCGGUGGCCUAACCCUUGUGGGGGGAGCCGUCGAAGGUGGGACCAGCGAUUGGGACUAAGUCGUA